AAUUCUUCUCGUACGAGCAUUUCUACGUCAUCUACUGCAAGUUCUGGGAGCUGGACACGGACCACGACCUGCUCAUCGACGCGGACGACCUGGCGCGGCACAAUGACCACGGUCUCUCUCUCCGUCUAAAAGCUGAACCUUUGAGGCCUGAAUAUUCUGCUCUUUGCAAGUCGGUCUUGGAGCCGCGGUCACCUUUGCACUCUGUGGAUUUCAUGCUGGACUUGGCUGUGCUCGACGGGAAAGCGUGGUGGGCCCCUAGGAUGGGCCGUGCAGGGGCAUUGGGGCCCCGGGGCUCUCCCAGACCCAGGCGUCCUCUCAGCUUUUCGGUCCCCACCGCAUCCAGUCUCGGCUCUGGGGGGUGGUGACGUCGGGGCCGAGGCACGGUGCGGGCUGCCCAUCAAUCGCAUUCCUUUCCAGCCAUUUCUACCAAGAUGAUAGACAGGAUCUUCUCAGGAGCAGUCACACGAGGCAGAAAAGUGCAGAAGGAAGGGAAGAUCAGCUAUGCCGACUUUGUCUGGUUUUGAUCUCUGAGGAAGACAAAAAAACACCGACCAGCAUCGAGUACUGGUUCCGCUGCAUGGACCUGGACGGGGACGGCGCCCUGUCCAUGUUCGAGCUCGAGUACUUCUACGAGGAGCAGUGCCGAAGGCUGGACAGCAUGGCCAUCGAGGCCCUGCCCUUCCAGGACUGCCUCUGCCAGAUGCUGGACCUGGUCAAGCCGAGGACUGAAG
Molecule: small RNA, 731 nt
Filed under: Pan troglodytes (chimpanzee)
Lineage: Eukaryota; Metazoa; Chordata; Mammalia; Primates; Hominidae
Description: retained intron
Source: RNAcentral